RNAcentral lists this ribosomal RNA (465 nucleotides) under uncultured bacterium. Its description in RNAcentral is "partial 16S ribosomal RNA". It matches the Rfam family "Bacterial small subunit ribosomal RNA", at positions 28 to 507 of the family's 1533-position model. The record is from RNAcentral.
GACGAACGCUGGCGGCGUGCUUAACACAUGCAAGUCGAACGGAAAGGCCCCUUCGGGGGUACUCGAGUGGCGAACAGGUGAGUAACACGUGAGUAACCUGCCCUUGACUUCGGGAUAACUUCAGGAAACUGGGGCUAAUACCGGAUAGGAAUCCUUGCUGCAUGGUGGGGGUUGGAAAGCUUCAGCGGUUUUGGAUGGACUCGCGGCUUAUCAGCUUGUUGGUGGGGUAGUGGCUUACCAAGGCUUUGACGGGUAGCCGGCCUGAGAGGGCGACCGGCCACAUUGGGACUGAGAUACGGCCCAGACUCCUACGGGAGGCAGCAGUGGGGAAUAUUGCACAAUGGGCGGAAGCCUGAUGCAGCAACGCCGCGUGCGGGAUGACGGCCUUCGGGUUGUAAACCGCUUUCAGCAGGGGCGAAGCUUGUGGUGACGGUACCUGCAGAAGAAGCACCGGCUAACUACGUG